RNAcentral lists this transfer RNA (73 nucleotides) under Canis lupus familiaris (dog). It matches the Rfam family "tRNA". From Rfam's summary of the family: Transfer RNA (tRNA) molecules are approximately 80 nucleotides in length. Their secondary structure includes four short double-helical elements and three loops (D, anti-codon, and T loops). The record is from Rfam by way of RNAcentral. RNAcentral also lists the same sequence under 1 other name. Lineage: Eukaryota; Metazoa; Chordata; Mammalia; Carnivora; Canidae.
ACCUGUCUGGCUCAGUCAGUAGAGCAUAUGACUCUUGAUCUUGGGGUUGUGAGUUCAAGCCCCACAUUGGGUG